Molecule: long non-coding RNA, 3067 nt
Organism: Clupea harengus (Atlantic herring)
Lineage: Eukaryota; Metazoa; Chordata; Actinopteri; Clupeiformes; Clupeidae
Source: Ensembl
AUGUUUUUGCAGGAAACAAAAAGCAACCUUAAGCUAACCAAGAUCCAUCACAUGAUGAUGUGUCAGAAGUGCAGAUCAGUUGUUUGUAUGUCAUGAGAGCAGAAGGAGCCUGAUGGAGGUGAGGAAAAUCAAGAAAAGCCAAACACUGGUAUGUUAGACGACAAAGGAACCUGAAUAUUUACAUAGUAAAUAUCUAUUAUCAUUAGGCAGCUAGAGUUCCUCGUGUACUGUCUAUUUCCUCCCCAUUAGUAAGUUGCAGUGAAAACAUACUAUAUGCAGCGUCUUCAGCAUGUCACUAUCUGUGUUUGAAGUCAAAUAAUGUCUCUACGUCAUGUUAGUUUACAAAAAAAGACUGGUGUUGAUAUUUGUUUUGUUUUUGUUUUUGUAGUUAAUGUGGGGUUUUCACUGUCUACAUGGCAAGUUAUUCAAGCAAAUGAAUGCCUAGGUGUUAAUUGGAAAUUUUACAGAAUAUAUUGCCAUUAACAGAAAACACUGUCAGGUGGCAUUGUUCAAAGUCUAAAUCAAUGUUUGCAGCUUUGGUAGCAUAAUAAUAGUAACAUUGACAACAAAAACAUAUUUGUACAUUUGAGGCGUAAAAUGAGUCCCACCAUUUAUUCUAAGUCAAGAAUAUUAAUUGUAUUGUAUAUUCUGAUGCACCUCUGUCUUGUGACGUUUGUGUGAGCUGAUGGACAUUGUUUGCCUCCUGACCCCCCCUCACUCUCCCUUCUCCUGGGCACAGGUCAUUCUGGGGUCACACCUGGCCACAUUUUAGGGGUGAAAUCUAUUUAGUGAGUAGAGGGUGUCAGCACAUUGGGGGUUGAUAUCAUUUUAAUGGUCUGUGUGAGGAGUGGGCCUAUAAGGGGCGCAGUUGUAGAACAAUAAGGUGGAUCUUUAUAAGGUCUCCAGAAACAUGCGAAAAUGUCCUUUAUAAGGUCUCCAUUCCAGUGACACUCCCACCUGGGGUCAAAAAAUGAAAUGUCCUACCCCUUGCCACUCGGAUAAGGAGAUAGCCCCUAUAGUUCAAAGGUCCUUAGAUGUGUAAAUAGGUUAUUUAUGCAAAUUUCCAUUUGUCAUGUAAUUUAAGAAUGCAUUUUUUUUUGGUUGUGUAUUAUUACUAGAAGUAUUGAAUCUUUAUGCUUUUAUUUUUGACUUAGCUUAAUCAUUGCGUAAUCAUGUUAGAAAACAUCUUUGAAUUUGCAAUGCGUGAAUUGUGUGAAUGCCUGUAAGUGGCUCCUUUGUGAACUCAGAUACAGUAAAUCCUUGUAGUAAAUUCUAAGAGAGACAUAACAUUAUUAACUAUCACUCUGGUAAUAUCUAGCCACGACUGCAACAGCAGUGGUGAAUAAAUAACUGGAGUCAGAUUGGUCAAGAGAUAGUUUCACCAUCUAAGCAGUCUCACCUGGGCACCGGAUAAGACAGUUAUACAUUGAACCUUUGGCCGUUAGUCUGGUCUCCACACCUGGGCCAACAGCGGCUUCCUCCACAAUAUAACAGAUGGAUUUUUAAAUAUAUAAAUUACUGUAUUACUUUUGGUCAGAAAGUCUUGUCUGAGGCAUGGUAAGAUAUUUUAUUGGGUUACUCACAGUAGACAACAGAUCUGUGUAGUUUAGGUAGACUACAUGAAAGUACAUCAAUGAUACCUACAGUAGGAUGAAAGUUAGAUGAUCAGUUCUUACUGGAAAAAGGGAAAAGGUGCCCCGUUGCUGUUGUUGUUUAAUAUGAUGCUCUAUUUUUGCAUGCUAAAGACACGUUUUCUCACACAAAUACUGCCAUUAUGCCAUUAAGCAUGAGCUCUGUAUUUCUAUGUGUCGUUGCCAGGCAGCUCCCCCAUGCCCUAUAUUUUGUCUUCAUUUAAAGUCUGUGCUAUCAUAGUUAAAAUAUGCAUAGGUGGAACACACAUUAUGUGAGAGCACCAAUGCAGGAAUCAUGUAAAGACCUUUAGGUAUUGAUACAGAAGCGUCACAAUCAUACAUGGUAUCUCCUUCCUCUGUUUUGAUGUGUAUUGCUGUUCAGACUUUUUUUUUUUUUUAAUCUUUUUCUUAAAUCUCUGACGUGGUUUGUCGUUUUUUCACUAUUCUCUUCAGGUGUAUUAGAUUGAAAUGAUACAUUUGAGAAUAGAAAUGAUUGGCAGACUUGCAAUUGUCUGUUGUGUUAAUAAAGCUUUUUUUCAGCACAUCCAUUUCAUCUUUUGUUGGUCUAUUACAUUUUAAAGCAAUGCUUUGUUUAUAGUUUACUUUUACCACAUUUAAAGACUAAAGCUGUUUGGCUGAUCAACACAAGGGGAAAAAAACUCAGCAAUGACUCACCAGUUACAGUGAGCUGAUACAUACGUCAUUAUUUAUUUUAAAUGCAUAAAAGCCACUCCAAUUUGAUUUGAGAUCUGAGAUGGUUAGAGACAACGUUUGCUUGUCAAACUCCGUGUUUAGAAAAAGGCAUUUUGUUUGUUGCUCUUCUUCAUCCCAAUGUGCAAUGAUUGUGUUAUUGUGUGCCCACUGAAUGACCUCCUCGUGUACAUUUGGUACUUCUGCUUGAAGAGUGAUGGAUUGUCCUGUCAUUCCACACACAGGAACAGCAUCUGUAGGAUGAGAGUGAAAUUGAAGAUGAUUCAUUACAUAAAGUAUAUAGAUGAAUACCCACCGGUAAAUAUGUUAACACUACCCAAUGUUUUAAUUGUGUUAUUUUAUUCCACAAAAAUAGUAUUACCUUCUCUAUGAUCUAUUUAAUUACUUCAAAGAAAAGUUAUUAUUAUCUGGUUUCUCUGUGACUUGUAUGUUGAAAACCACCAAAGCCUUGGCUUAAAAGGGUAAGAUGAAGAAAGUCACAACUUAAAGCCGCUUUCCUGAACUUUGGUAGGGAUAGAUUCAAGUAUGCUAUGGAUUCAAGAAACAAAAAUAAUUUGUUGUUUUUACCUUGAGAUGCUAGGGUGCCAGCCAGAAGACAGAGAAUUCCAGCUCCAAUAGCUUUUGGGAGCAUUAUCCCUGUUAGAACAAGUUCAUUGCAGUCACCCAGUCAUACAAAAAGAGGCACAGAUAAAUCACAACUACCUAAAUUCCUGUUACUAUUUCAG